RNAcentral lists this non-coding RNA (21 nucleotides) under Arabidopsis thaliana (thale cress). The record is from RNAcentral. Lineage: Eukaryota; Viridiplantae; Streptophyta; Magnoliopsida; Brassicales; Brassicaceae.
UAAAGCUCAGGUAAGAUAGCG